Molecule: long non-coding RNA, 191 nt
Organism: Perognathus longimembris pacificus (Pacific pocket mouse)
Lineage: Eukaryota; Metazoa; Chordata; Mammalia; Rodentia; Heteromyidae
Exons: 3
Source: RefSeq, a predicted model, not a curated record
AAGGAAGUGCUAAACAGGCAGCUCCAACCUGAGAAUGCAAAAAAAAGGAGAGACGGGAAAUGGUUUUGAGGCGCUCUUAAAAAGGGAAGUAGCAGCCGGGUGCCAGUGGUUCACACCUGUAAUCCUAGCUACUUGGGAGGCUGAGAUCUGAGCACUGAGGUUCAAAGCCAGCCCAGGCAGCAAAGUCCCCA